GAGAGAGAGAGAGAGAGAGAGAGAGAGAGAGAGUAGCAAAUUAUUUGGAACUACCAAACAAUUCGACGAAAAAUUUGCAGGAAAAGUUGUCUUUCCCUGCCGCUCUCCGCGCUCGCUC
This 118-nucleotide microRNA precursor is filed under the name Prevotella dentalis DSM 3688. Its description in RNAcentral is "MIR533". The record is from RNAcentral. Lineage: Bacteria; Pseudomonadati; Bacteroidota; Bacteroidia; Bacteroidales; Prevotellaceae.